Long non-coding RNA from Astyanax mexicanus (Mexican tetra), 752 nucleotides. RefSeq lists it as uncharacterized. The record is from RefSeq and is a predicted model, not a curated record. NCBI's taxonomy places the organism in Eukaryota, Metazoa, Chordata, Actinopteri, Characiformes, Acestrorhamphidae. The transcript has 4 exons.
CCUGCAUUUUUCAUAGAUUGGAGAAAGUGGACAUGGUGAACAAACAGACCCUCAGACUAACCAAGUUACUCAGUCUGCUGAAGUUCUGCAACAGGAGGACGAACAAACUUACGCUUCUGUCCACGAACCUAAAACUGGGAAGAAGAAAAAAGCCCAAAAAGAAACGGAUGGAGGAAGUGGCAGGAAAACCCAGGUUGGAAAUAGUGCACAGAGUGGCCUGCUGCAGGAGGAUGACAUCACAUAUGCCUCCGUGAGCAUCAAACCCAAUAAACCUGAAGAAAGAGUCAUCUCCACUGUCCAGCUAGAAGAGGAUGAUUCUGUUAUCUACAGUGCAGUGGCCACUAAGUGAUCAAAUCUCCACACGUCAUUUAACCACAAAGUUCACAGCCUGUUUAUUUUCCUGUGCAGCACUAAAUAGAAAGUGAAUGUAAGCUUUCGAAUGUUGCAGGUGAUGUUUGGUCUCGUUAUUUCUUCAGUUUAUAGUGUAGCUACUUCUUUAUUAUAAUUUUUAUAUCAGCUGGGAACUGCUUCACAAACUGCUAUUGGUUCUUAUUAACUAGAAUUAUUUGUGUAAAACCAAAACUUGCAUUUAAUACAGUAAAACAUGUUGUCUUUUAUUUUCAUCAUAUAUGUGUCACAGAUCUAAAUUCAAUGCUUGCUUGGUGCUACAGUAUAUGAUCUAUUGUAAAAGCUUAGUUUUGAAUGUAUUGUGGAAUUGUCUGUACAGCUAUUAAAGUAUUUACUGAACUGGA